GCCAGUUGUAUGAAAGUACAGCACAUAAAAUCAUGUACACCACCUAAUACUGGCUAUGAUUAUAAAUGGCAGUGUGACUGGCUUAUGUACAUACUACACUUUUUAUUGUUAUUUUAGAGUGUACUCCUUCUACUUAUAUAAAAACAGUUAACUGUGAACAGCCUCAGGUGGGCCCUUCAGGAGGUCCCAGAGUCAGGCAUCGUUAUCAUAGGAGAUGACAGCUUCCUGCGUGUUACUGGCCCUGAAGACCUUCCAGUGGGACAAGAUGUGGAGGUGGAAGACGGUGGCAGUGAGAAUCCUAACCCUGCGAGGGCCUUGGCUAAUUCUAUGGUAGGACAGUCGUGUCCUGGGCCUUCGAAUUCACUCCCCACUCCCUCCCUGUCUUGUCCGGUCCUGCAAGCUCCGUCCAUGACAGCUGAAGAACCUAAAAGGGUAGAGGAAAGUGAAGAGCCCAGGUAAUGGCCACGGCACCUUGGGUUCUUGAGCAGCUGCCAUCUGGAAGUCAAGUACUCUUCUGCCCAAGGGCUGUCCAGGGCAUCAUCCACCAUUUCUACUCUGAGUCUCAGGACUGUCUGGCCCUGCCCUGCUGCCCUGGAGAAAGGUAUUUUCUUGUUGCAUCUCCAUUUACUAUCCUCUUUCUCACCUCUCAAGUAACACAUCUCCAUUGACUCAGUCAGAUCACCUCUGCCUGGCAGAGCCAAUUCAGAGUCUUCUUUCCCUUUAAGACUUCCUCUGUUCGGAGUGUUGUGCUAACAUUGAGGCCUAAAACCACAUAUUUUUCCUCCCUGUUGACUGUAUGUGUAUCUGUGAAUUGAUUUUUUAAAUGACCAUAUUUACCUUCUCAACCCCUCUUAAUAUGUUGAGCUGCUAGAGGACACAACAUACCGAUAUGAAUGCUGCAUGGAUUUCAUAAUGCUGGGGGCUGAGUUGGAGUUUAUGAUGCCUCCAUGACUGCAGCUUUCUUAUCAACACUGACCAUAUCAUCUUCUUCUUUUGUAACCUCCCACAGCACCUGGACUGAAGGCUGUGCACACAGUGGAUGUUAAAUAAAUAUUGACUGAUAUUCUUUGUUCAAUAAUAUUUCUGUCCAU
This is a long non-coding RNA of Pan troglodytes (chimpanzee), 1091 nucleotides long. RefSeq lists it as uncharacterized. Lineage: Eukaryota; Metazoa; Chordata; Mammalia; Primates; Hominidae. The record is from RefSeq and is a predicted model, not a curated record. The transcript is spliced from 3 exons.